AGUGAACGCUGGCGGUAGGCCUAACACAUGCAAGUCGAACGGCAGCACAGUAAGAGCUUGCUCUUACGGGUGGCGCGUGGCGGACGGGUGAGGAAUACAUCGGAAUCUACUUUUUCGUGGGGGAUAACGUAGGGAAACUUACGCUAAUACCGCAUACGACCUACGGGUGAAAGCAGGGGAUCUUCGGACCUUGCGCGAUUGAAUGAGCCGAUGUCGGAUUAGCUAGUUGGCGGGGUAAAGGCCCACCAAGGCGACGAUCCGUAGCUGGUCUGAGAGGAUGAUCAGCCACACUGGAGCUGAGACACGGUCCAGACUCCUACGGGAGGCAGCAGUGGGGAAUAUUGGACAAUGGGCGCAAGCCUGAUCCAGCCAUACCGCGUGGGUGAAGAAGGCCUUCGGGUUGUAAAGCCCUUUUGUUGGGAAAGAAAAGCAGCAGGUUAAUACCCCGCUGUUCUGACGGUACCCAAAGAAUAAGCACCGGCUAACUUCGUG
RNAcentral lists this ribosomal RNA (492 nucleotides) under uncultured bacterium. RNAcentral describes it as "partial 16S ribosomal RNA". It matches the Rfam family "Bacterial small subunit ribosomal RNA", at positions 29 to 507 of the family's 1533-position model. The record is from RNAcentral.